CUUAUCGCCACGGUGAAUCCUGUCCAGAAAGAAGAAUUUGGACAGUGUUUAACCCCCCCGGAUGUGGGCAUCAAUGAGGACAAACAUGAUAAUGCACACAUGCCAUGUCUGCAUGUUAAACUCAGGUUUUGGGAAUAAACAACAAAGGAUUAUCUGGUUACCAUACCAAUUAACCAGUCUACCAUGAUUGUCUGUGAGUGAAGGCAAUGCUGCUCCAAUGACGCGCUCAGCCGCCCUAACCACCCGCUGCAGGUCCUUGCUGUUCUUUUCUGUGCAGCUGGAGAACCACACAUUGCAGCAAUAGGUUAGUAAAUGCUCUCUAUCACUGACAGGUGGAGAGGGAGGUGAGCGAGUUUUAGCUUCCUUUGGAAAUAGAGCCUCUGUUGUGCCAUUCCCACCUAGAGGGUGGUACAGAUAGAUAGAUAGAUAGAUAGAUAGAUAGAUAGAUAGAUAGA
Molecule: long non-coding RNA, 455 nt
Organism: Perca flavescens (yellow perch)
Lineage: Eukaryota; Metazoa; Chordata; Actinopteri; Perciformes; Percidae
Exons: 3
Source: RefSeq, a predicted model, not a curated record